RNAcentral lists this ribosomal RNA (460 nucleotides) under uncultured bacterium. RNAcentral's name for it is "partial 16S ribosomal RNA". It matches the Rfam family "Bacterial small subunit ribosomal RNA", at positions 338 to 795 of the family's 1533-position model. The record is from RNAcentral.
CCUACGGGAGGCAGCAGUGAGGAAUAUUGGUCAAUGGGCGCGAGGCUGAACCAGCCAAGUAGCGUGAGGGACGACUGCCCUAUGGGUUGUAAACCUCUUUUAUAAGGGAAUAAUAAAUGCUACGUGUAGCAUGAUGCCUGUACCUUAUGAAUAAGCAUCGGCUAACUCCGUGCCAGCAGCCGCGGUAAUACGGAGGAUGCGAGCGUUAUCCGGAUUUAUUGGGGUUAAAGGGAGCGUAGGUGGGUUUUUAAGUUAGUUGGUAAAGUUUGGGGCUUAACCGUAAAAUUGCCAUUAAUACUGGAAGCCUCGAGUUCAGAUGAGGUAGGUGGAAUUCGUGGUGUAGCGGUGAAAUGCUUAGAUAUAACGUAGAACUCCGAUAGCGAAGGCAGCUUACUAGACUGCCACUGACGCUGAUGCACGAGAGUGUGGGUAGCGAACAGGAUUAGAUACCCUUGUAGUC